AGGAUUAACGCUGGCGGAGUGCCUAACACAUGCAAGUCGAGCGGCAGCGCGAGUAGUUUACUACUUGGCGGCGAGCGGCGGACGGCUGAGUAACGCGUGGGAACGUGCCCCAAAGUGAGGAAUAACUGCCCGAAAGGGUAGCUAAUGCCGCAUAUGAUCUUCGGAUUAAAGGAUUUAUCCGCUUUGGGAGCGGCCCGCGUCAGAUUAGGUAGUUGGUGAGGUAAAGGCUCACCAAGCCGACGAUCUGUAGCUGGUCUGAGAGGAUGACCAGCCAGACUGGAACUGAGACACGGUCCAGACUCCUACGGGAGGCAGCAGUGAGAAUCUUACCACAAGUGGGGGAAACCCUGAUGGAGCAACUCCGCGUGCAGGAUGAAGGCCUUACGGGG
This 389-nucleotide ribosomal RNA is filed under the name uncultured soil bacterium. RNAcentral describes it as "bacterial SSU rRNA". It matches the Rfam family "Bacterial small subunit ribosomal RNA", at positions 26 to 422 of the family's 1533-position model. The record is from RNAcentral.